CAUCUCUGCACAGCACAGGUGAGCUUCCACUUAAACAUACUAAUGAGUUCAUGCAAUAAUCAUUGUCUGCUCACAGCGAAGACAGUGCUGCUGUUUUGUGAUUAUCUAAGUGAGAGAAAGAAGUGGUGUCAGAGAUCCUGCUGUGCAGGAAUUCAUAUGAAACCGUCAUUUCCUUUUGUAUGUGUUACCAAUGAAGAUGCUGCAGCGCUGGAGAAGGCACCAAACUGAGCCAAGGGGAAGGCUGGCCCAAACAAAUGUCUUGGAAACCAAAAAGUGAAGAGAUGUGUUUGUUCCUGCUGCCUUCAGGAGAGGAGAUGUUUGUGAGAGAUACACACAAAUAACACCGUGAUAAACACUC
This is a long non-coding RNA of Chiroxiphia lanceolata (lance-tailed manakin), 358 nucleotides long. RefSeq lists it as uncharacterized. The transcript is spliced from 2 exons. Lineage: Eukaryota; Metazoa; Chordata; Aves; Passeriformes; Pipridae. The record is from RefSeq and is a predicted model, not a curated record.